UCAGAUGGUAAAAACAAGUAAGAGUUCCAGAUGGGGCAACUGGAAGAGAAGCAUGAUGAAGAUGGUAAUGGGAAAGCUUCAGAUUCUCACUUGACUGGGACGUCCAUGCCCUCACCUGUGACUUCCAAACCCACUCUCUGUGCAAGCCCUCAUGCAAAGCAGCGUCCUAUGAAGUCCUUCAUUACAGGGGACUGAUGACUGAAAUAAUGAGAAGGAACAAGUGGUGCUCACAGACCUGCUGGUCUGCAGAUGGGACUUCACCACACUGAGCUGCUUCCCAGUGCAGCAAAUCUCACUGACCACCGUUGACUGUGCUGGACACUUCACCAUCCCAGAGAAAUCCAGAGAAGUGAGUACUGGGGGUGGAUGGAGGCAAUGUGAGAGACCAGGUCCCUUGGUUGAGCACACAUCUGUUAGGGCUUUGUCUUUGCCUCCAUCUUUCUCUACUUCUGGACCCUACAUGAAUUAAUCCAACAGCUGCAGCAACAGGAUUUCCUGUGCCUCUCUGCAGGAGGGCUGUAGAAGUGGAACAGAAUAGGCAGCCCCAGGGACCUGAGCCGAGAGGACCAACACUGGUACUUCAGCUACUGCAGGUGGGCCAGGUAAUCACCAGGAGGUGGCAUCCAUCCCCUGGAGACACCAUGGCCCAUGCUGGGUAUGGUGCCAGUCCUGUCUGGGAGCCUUGGGUGUUUCUUUAGAGGAUGCUAGCUCUCCAAAGGGGCUCUGCAGUGGGGUAUUUGGGGCCAGCAAGGUCCCACCCUGGAGGUGGGAAGACCCACCACCUCGCAGUACUGCCAGCAUGUUUCUGUUCUGAGUCAUUCCCUUGCCUGUUUAUUUUUGGUAUUUAUUUAUUUACCACCGAGGUGUUGGCCCAGAGGAGCCUGGCUGUGCUGAACUCCUCCAGUGGCCUGGUGGCCGCUGCCAGCUCUGUCAAUGUCCAGCAGUGUUGGGAGUGUUCCCACCCUAAGUUGAAGGGGAGAGAAGUUGGGUUCCUGUGAAAGCAAUGCCACCUAUCAAAAGUGUGUUUGUCUCCAAGUAAUGAGUGCAGUAGCACAGGGUAAACAACUUUCGCUACAGGGUAAACUACUACCACAGAGCCCCCAGCUCCCAGCUCUCUCCCUGAGCUGGCUGGGGGGUGGAAGGAGGUUAAGAGGCAUAUCCUUUGCUGUAAUUAUAUCCUGUUGCUAGAGAUAUUGUGCUCUGCUUAAAGAAAUCAUCAUAAUACAGCCUCCCGGAGAAGGUAAUUACUAUGCAUCUUAUGAAUGGCUGCAUGCGAAUGUCUGCUCAAACUGCUGUCAGCAGCAAGUUUCAACACAUCUUACAUACCAGGCAUUUUACAGCCUUAGUUUUAUUUGUUUUCAUCACCCCUCGCCUUGUGCUUUAUUCUUCAUUAAUGGAUCUGGGUUUUUGUUUGUGUUGGUUUUCUUUUCUCUCUCUCUCUCUCUCUUUUUUUUUUUUUUUUUUUUUUAAGAGGCCAGAGUUCAUGUCUUUGAUGGAGCAUUUGGGUGGUGGCCACAGCUUUUAUUUGCUGCAUUUCUAUUGCUCUGUGGUGGCUUGAGGGGAACUGUCUGGAAGAUGCCAUUUCCGAGCAGUUGCCAUAUGGUAGCAUCUGAGUGGGGCCCUAGUUUCCUAGUCUGAGCCCAGAAAAAGACCAUACCGCUGUCAACAAAACUUGGUGUCACUCUACCUCUAGCAAAACUGCACAGAUUUUAGCCCAUGAGACAACUUAUUUUUCCUGUUCUACUUUCGCAGUUUCUCUCUCGUAUUGAAAAAGAGAUGGCAACUAUCCCAUCUGCUCCCAAACAGGAACGUCAGACCUCUGAGCUUUCUGAAGCUCCUCCGAAGCAAAUCUCUUUCCUGCCACUGGCACAAAUGACCUCCCUGCCUUGGUUAACAGUCAGCCUAAGUGUCACUGCAGUGUGGCUAAAGUUUUGGAGAAUCAUAGCCUGGUAAUGCUGCACAUGGAGAUUGCCAUAUAACUGGCUUCAGAGCCAUAUCCUUUGGCUUUGCAGGGACAUUUCAGUUAAAGAGAUGGGGGAAUGCCAACAGAGCCCUGGUUUGUCACAGCAGGAGUGAUCCAGCUACUCUUCCUUUCUCAAAGGUCAGUCAUGUUUGCCUUUCCCCAGCAGUAUGUGUGGCAAUCUGGCCUCAUGUUGCGCAUGUAGGGCCACAGUGUGUGAUCGUGACACCCUGCAUGGCUGUAAGAACAUCAUGUCCAUCUCCUGGCCAGCUCAAGGGAGGAUUUGAAACUGCUGCUUGGAUUGCUUCCUUGUGCAAAUGGAUGGGGCUUGCUCUUGCAAUGCUGAAGCUGAAUUGUUUUAGUCCCCUCAGUGAUUUGUUGUGUUUGUGGCCAGGCUUCUGCGUGUGGUGAGCAUCGGCUGUGUUGCAUCCAGAGGUGGCUCCAUCCCGGCGCUGUGCAGAGUGCUGUGUCCGUCUCUCUCUGUGAUUCCUGGUGAAGCCUGAAAGGCAGCCUGGCUCCUGGAGGAUGGAAGGUGCUGUAAUAAAUAUUUUUUGGAGCCUCAUAAGUCUGAUAUCACUCCAGUUUCCAUAUGGAGAAUCUGAGGCGUAGUGGGUUGCAGCAGAUUGUCUCAAGCAAGUCUAACU
Molecule: non-coding RNA, 2604 nt
Organism: Phalacrocorax carbo (great cormorant)
Lineage: Eukaryota; Metazoa; Chordata; Aves; Suliformes; Phalacrocoracidae
Source: RefSeq, a predicted model, not a curated record